This 883-nucleotide ribosomal RNA is filed under the name uncultured bacterium. Its description in RNAcentral is "bacterial SSU rRNA". It matches the Rfam family "Bacterial small subunit ribosomal RNA", at positions 22 to 901 of the family's 1533-position model. The record is from RNAcentral.
GCUCAGAACGAACGCCGGCGGCGCGCCUAAUACAUGCAAGUCGAACGAGAAUGUGUAGCAAUACACACGUACAGUGGCGAACGGGUGAGGACUACAUGGGUAACCUACCCUCGAGUGGGGAAUAACUAGCCGAAAGGUUAGCUAAUACCGCGUACGCUUCCCAGACUGCGGUUUGGGAAGGAAAGCGAUACCGUGGGUAUCGCGCUCUUGGAUGGGCUCAUGCCCUAUCAGCUUGUUGGUGAGGUAACGGCUCACCAAGGCUUCGACGGGUAGCUGAUCUGAGAGGAUGAUCAGCCACACUGGCACUGCGACACGGGCCAGACUCCUACGGGAGGCAGCAGUAAGGAAUAUUGCGCAAUGGGCGAAAGCCUGACGCAGCGACGCCGCGUGGGGGAUGAAGGUCUUCGGAUUGUAAACCCCUUUCGGGAGGGAAGAUGGGAUGGGGUAACCCAUUCGGACGGUACCUCCAGAAGCAGCCACGGCUAACUUCGUGCCAGCAGCCGCGGUAAUACGAAGGUGGCAAGCGUUGUUCGGAUUUACUGGGCGUACAGGGAGCGUAGGCGGUUGGAUAAGCCCUCCGUGAAAUCUCCAGGCUUAACCUGGAAAGUGCAGAGGGGACUGUUCAGCUAGAGGAUGGGAGAGGAGCGCGGAAUUCCCGGUGUAGCGGUGAAAUGCGUAGAGAUCGGGAGGAAGGCCGGUGGCGAAGGCGGCGCUCUGGAACAUUUCUGACGCUGAGGCUCGAAAGCGUGGGGAGCAAACAGGAUUAGAUACCCUGGUAGUCCACGCCUUAAACGAUGGAUACUAAGUGUCGGCGGGUUACCGCCGGUGCCGCAGCUAACGCAGUAAGUAUCCCGCCUGGGAAGUACGGCCGCAAGUUGAAACU